This 650-nucleotide ribosomal RNA is filed under the name uncultured bacterium. RNAcentral's name for it is "bacterial SSU rRNA". It matches the Rfam family "Bacterial small subunit ribosomal RNA", at positions 104 to 748 of the family's 1533-position model. The record is from RNAcentral.
GGGUGAGUAAUAUAUCGGAACGUGCCCAGUCGUGGGGGAUAACGCAGCGAAAGCUGUGCUAAUACCGCAUACGAUCUCUGGAUGAAAGCGGGGGACUCGCAAGAGCCUCGCGCGAUUGGAGCGGCCGAUAUCAGAUUAGCUAGUUGGCGGGGUAAAAGCCCACCAAGGCGACGAUCUGUAGCUGGUCUGAGAGGACGACCAGCCACACUGGAACUGAGACACGGUCCAGACUCCUACGGGAGGCAGCAGUGGGGAAUUUUGGACAAUGGGCGAAAGCCUGAUCCAGCAAUGCCGCGUGCAGGAUGAAGGCCUUCGGGUUGUAAACUGCUUUUGUACGGAACGAAACGGUUCUCUUUAAUAAAGGGGGCUAAUGACGGUACCGUAAGAAUAAGCACCGGCUAACUACGUGCCAGCAGCCGCGGUAAUACGUAGGGUGCGAGCGUUAAUCGGAAUUACUGGGCGUAAAGCGUGCGCAGGCGGUGAUGUAAGACAGAUGUGAAAUCCCCGGGCUCAACCUGGGACCUGCAUUUGUGACUGCAUCGCUAGAGUACGGUAGAGGGGGAUGGAAUUCCGCGUGUAGCAGUGAAAUGCGUAGAUAUGCGGAGGAACACCGAUGGCGAAGGCAAUCCCCUGGACCUGUACUGACGCUC